UGCAUCUGUGAUGAUAUUUUGGCUCCCUCUACUGAAAAAGUAUGAGGAGGACUGCCAUCGUUACCCAAAGUGUCUGAGAUCUG
Small nucleolar RNA from Paramormyrops kingsleyae, 83 nucleotides. Ensembl annotates it as small nucleolar RNA SNORD100. Lineage: Eukaryota; Metazoa; Chordata; Actinopteri; Osteoglossiformes; Mormyridae. The record is from Ensembl.